UACGGAAGGCAGCAGUGGGGAAUAUUGCACAAUGGGCGCAAGCCUGAUGCAGCCAUGCCGCGUGUAUGAAGAAGGCCUUCGGGUUGUAAAGUACUUUCAGCGGGGAGGAAGGCGAUGUGGUUAAUAACCGCAUCGAUUGACGUUACCCGCAGAAGAAGCACCGGCUAACUCCGUGCCAGCAGCCGCGGUAAUACGGAGGGUGCAAGCGUUAAUCGGAAUUACUGGGCGUAAAGCGCACGCAGGCGGUCUGUCAAGUCGGAUGUGAAAUCCCCGGGCUUAACCUGGGAACUGCAUUCGAACUGGCAGGCUAGAGUCUUGUAGAGGGGGUAGAAUUCCAGGUGUAGCGGUGAAAUGCGUAGAGAUCUGGAGGAAUACCGGUGGCGAAGGCGGGCCCCUGGGACAAAGCUGACGCUCAGGUGCGAAAGCGUGGGGAGCGAAACAGGGAUUAGAUAACC
Molecule: ribosomal RNA, 455 nt
Filed under: uncultured bacterium
Lineage: Bacteria
Description: bacterial SSU rRNA
Rfam family: Bacterial small subunit ribosomal RNA
Source: RNAcentral